This 519-nucleotide ribosomal RNA is filed under the name Agapophytus paramonovi. Its description in RNAcentral is "partial 16S ribosomal RNA". It matches the Rfam family "Bacterial large subunit ribosomal RNA", at positions 1809 to 2603 of the family's 2925-position model. Lineage: Eukaryota; Metazoa; Arthropoda; Insecta; Diptera; Therevidae. The record is from RNAcentral.
AAAAACAUGUCCUUUAGAAUUUAAUUUGAGGUCUAACCUGCCCACUGAAUUAAAUGGCCGCAGUAUUUUAACUGUGCAAAGGUAGCAUAAUCAUUAGUCUUUUAAUUGAAGGCUUGUAUGAAUGGUUGGACGAAAUAUUGACUGUUUCACGGAAAUUGAUUUAGAAUUUUAUUUUUUAGUUAAAAAGCUAAAAUUUAUUUAAAAGACGAGAAGACCCUAUAGAUCUUUAUGGUUUAUUUGUUAUAGUUAUUUAGAUAAUUUGGGCUAUAAUUAUAUAAAUUAUUUUGUUGGGGUGACAUUAAAAUUUAAUUAACUUUUAAUAGUUUAUUACAUUGAUUUAUGAUUUAUUGAUCCAUUAUUAAUGAUUAAAAAUUUAAGUUACCUUAGGGAUAACAGCGUAAUUUUUUUGAAGAGUUCAUAUCGAUAAAAAAGAUUGCGACCUCGAUGUUGGAUUAAGAUAUAAUUUUGGGUGCAGCAAUUCAAUUAUUAAGUCUGUUCGACUUUUAAUUUCUUACAUGA